This 768-nucleotide long non-coding RNA is filed under the name Salmo salar (Atlantic salmon). Its description in RNAcentral is "lncRNA (ENSSSAG00000089759.1)". Lineage: Eukaryota; Metazoa; Chordata; Actinopteri; Salmoniformes; Salmonidae. The record is from RNAcentral.
GGGUUGGUAUUAUCAUAAUCUCUCUCUCUGUUAGGGGGUUGGUAUUAUCAUCAUCUCUCUCUCUGUUAGGGGGUUGGUAUUAUCAUCAUCAUCUCUCUCUGUUAGGGGGUUGGUAUUAUCAUCAUCUCUCUCUCUGUUAGGGGGUUGGUAUUAUCAUCAUCUCUCUCUGUUAGGGGGUUGGUAUUAUCAUCAUCUCUCUCUGUUAAGGGGUUGGUAUUAUCAUCAUCAUCUCUCUCUCUGUUAGGGGGUUGGCAUUAUCAUCAUCUCUCUCUGUUAGGGGGUUGGUAUUAUCAUCAUCUCUCUCUCUGUUAGGGGGUUGGUAUUAUCAUCAUCUCUCGCUCUGUUAGGAGGUUGGUAUUAUCAUCAUCUCUCUCUGUUAGGGGGUUGGUAUUAUCAUCAUCUCUCUCUGUUAGGGGGUUGGUAUUAUCAUCAUCUCUCUCUUUUAGGGGGUUGGUAUUAUCAUCAUCUCUCUCUGUUAGGUGGUUGGUAUUAUCAUCAUCUCUCUCUGAUAGGGGGUUGGUAUUAUCAUCAUCUCUCUCUCUGUUAGGGGUUGGUAUUAUCAUCAUCAUCUCUGUUAGGGGGUUGGCAUUAUCAUCAUCUCUCUCUGUUAGGGGGUUGAUAUUAUCAUCAUCUCUCUUGCGGGGUUGGUAUUAUCAUCAACUCUCUCUGUUAGGGGGUUGGUAUUAUCAUCAUCUCUCUCUGUUAGGGGGUUGGUAUUAUCAUCAUCUCUCUGUUAGGGGGUUGGUAUUAUCAUCAUCUCUCUCUCUG